This 31-nucleotide non-coding RNA is filed under the name Homo sapiens (human). Lineage: Eukaryota; Metazoa; Chordata; Mammalia; Primates; Hominidae. The record is from RNAcentral.
UGAUGAAACUCUGAGGUAUUUUCAGGAUAGC